RNAcentral lists this small RNA (436 nucleotides) under Pan troglodytes (chimpanzee). RNAcentral's name for it is "retained intron". Lineage: Eukaryota; Metazoa; Chordata; Mammalia; Primates; Hominidae. The record is from RNAcentral.
GGUUGGGGGCGUCUUCCUCGCGGGCCCUGUGCAGGGUCUUGUAAUGGAAGUUACACGCAGGGCACAGAGUAUAGGGGAGGGGAAAGAUCCUUCUGGCCUUCGGUGGAGAAGUAGCAUCCUGGGUGCGUGCACAGUCUCCCCUCAGGGGGCACUCAUCAGGGGUCCUCUCCCUGGCUCUGAGGCCCUCGGGUCUGGAAGGAACAAGGCGAAUCGGCUUGUAGUGGCCCCAGCGAGGGGAGGAGGAGGAGGAGGAGGAGGAGGAGGAGGAAGAGGAGGAGGAGGAGGAGGAGGAGGAGGAGGAGGAAGAGGAGGAGGAGGAGGAGGAGGAGGAGGAGGAGGAGGAGGAGGAGGAGGAGGAGGAGGAGGAGAAGCCUCCCCAGACCGCCAGGGGUCGCUGCCGAGCCGCAGCAAAUCCAACUGAUCCCCACGUCUUGGC